This 253-nucleotide ribosomal RNA is filed under the name uncultured bacterium. Its description in RNAcentral is "partial 16S ribosomal RNA". It matches the Rfam family "Bacterial small subunit ribosomal RNA", at positions 524 to 776 of the family's 1533-position model. The record is from RNAcentral.
UACGUAGGGUGCGAGCGUUGUCCGGAAUUAUUGGGCGUAAAGGGCUCGUAGGCGGUUUGUCGCGUCGGGAGUGAAAACCCAGGGCUUAACCCUGGGCUGGCUUCCGAUACGGGCAGACUAGAGGUAUGCAGGGGAGAACGGAAUUCCUGGUGUAGCGGUGAAAUGCGCAGAUAUCAGGAGGAACACCGGUGGCGAAGGCGGGUCUCUGGGCCGAUACUGACGCUGAGGAGCGAAAGCGUGGGGAGCAAACAGG